AUUGAACGCUGGCGGCAUGCCUUACACAUGCAAGUCGAACGGCAGCACGGGAGCAAUCCUGGUGGCGAGCGGCGAACGGGUGAGUAAUAUAUCGGAACGUGCCCGGUCGUGGGGGAUAACGUAGCGAAAGCUACGCUAAUACCGCAUACGAUCUACGGAUGAAAGCGGGGGAUCGCAAGACCUCGCGCGAUUGGAGCGGCCGAUAUCAGAUUAGGUAGUUGGUGAGGUAAAGGCUCACCAAGCCGACGAUCUGUAGCUGGUCUGAGAGGACGACCAGCCACACUGGGACUGAGACACGGCCCAGACUCCUACGGGAGGCAGCAGUGGGGAAUUUUGGACAAUGGGCGCAAGCCUGAUCCAGCAAUGCCGCGUGCAGGAUGAAGGCCUUCGGGUUGUUAAACGUGCUUUUGUUACGGAACGAAACGGUAGAGCUCUAAUACAGUUUGCUAAUGACGUACCGUAAGAAUAAG
RNAcentral lists this ribosomal RNA (470 nucleotides) under uncultured bacterium. RNAcentral describes it as "bacterial SSU rRNA". It matches the Rfam family "Bacterial small subunit ribosomal RNA", at positions 30 to 490 of the family's 1533-position model. The record is from RNAcentral.